UGGGGAAUAUUGCACAAUGGGCGCAAGCCUGAUGCAGCCAUGCCGCGUGUAUGAAGAAGGCCUUCGGGUUGUAAAGUACUUUCAGUCGGGAGGAAGGUGGUAAGGUUAAUAACCUUAUCAAUUGACGUUACCGACAGAAGAAGCACCGGCUAACUCCGUGCCAGCAGCCGCGGUAAUACGGAGGGUGCAAGCGUUAAUCGGAAUUACUGGGCGUAAAGCGCACGCAGGCGGUCUGUCAAGUCGGAUGUGAAAUCCCCGGGCUUAACCUGGGAACUGCAUUCGAAACUGGCAGGCUAGAGUCUUGUAGAGGGGGGUAGAAUUCCAGGUGUAGCGGUGAAAUGCGUAGAGAUCUGGAGGAAUACCGGUGGCGAAGGCGGCCCCCUGGACGAAGACUGACGCUCAGGUGCGAAAGCGGGGGGAGCAAACAGG
RNAcentral lists this ribosomal RNA (429 nucleotides) under Chloroflexota bacterium. RNAcentral describes it as "Chloroflexi bacterium partial 16S ribosomal RNA". It matches the Rfam family "Bacterial small subunit ribosomal RNA", at positions 355 to 776 of the family's 1533-position model. The record is from RNAcentral. Lineage: Bacteria; Bacillati; Chloroflexota.